Molecule: long non-coding RNA, 700 nt
Filed under: Marmota monax (woodchuck)
Lineage: Eukaryota; Metazoa; Chordata; Mammalia; Rodentia; Sciuridae
Source: RNAcentral
CUGUGGCACCUGUGGCAGGGCACCUGGUGCUGAGCAGACUCUGCCCGCAGGUACUCCCUGGACUCCUACACAGUGGAACGCAAGUGCCAGUGCUGCCAGGAGCUGCGGACCUCACAGAAGAAGUGAGCCUGACCUGUGCCCACGCAUCCAGCCAGACACUCAGCCACACCCACGCACACACCUAUGCAUGCAUGCACCAACAAGCCCACUCACCAACUGACACCAGCCACUAACUUCAUCGGAGCCUGAAUCCAAGAAGAACAAAGAGCAGAGCCAGGAGUCAGAGAGCAGUAGCUGGGAGGGACUGCUCAGACCCCCCCAGUGAGCUGACCAGAGCCCCCGUGGACUCUGGGAAACACCAAGGAAAACGUCCUUUGAAUCCUCCAAGGCCAGUAGAACAUGCACCUUCGUCAAGGUGGCUGCCGUCUAGGACAUGCUGUCCACCCACCAUGUUCUUUUCAAGGGAGAUCUGACCCUUGAGAUGUCCAUGGAGGUGGGGAGGCCCUCAUCCACCUGUGCCCCCCUGUUCAGGAAUGUGGGGUCAGUGGGGCUCUUCUGGUAUGACUCUGACCUGCUCCUUGGGACUUCAGCAUCACACAAAGCUCUCACUAACAUGGGAUGUGGGUAUUGGCUGCCCUCCUACCUCAGCCAUGGGCCCAUGUCCCCCUCCUCAGGAAAUGACCAAUCUGUUUCAUAAAUA